AGAAAUUUAGGUUAAUAACAGACCAAAAGCCUUCAAAGCUUUAAGUAGAAGUGAAAAUCCUCUAAUUUCUG
RNAcentral lists this transfer RNA (71 nucleotides) under Sphyrna tiburo (bonnethead). RNAcentral's name for it is "tRNA-Trp". It matches the Rfam family "tRNA". Rfam says of the family: Transfer RNA (tRNA) molecules are approximately 80 nucleotides in length. Their secondary structure includes four short double-helical elements and three loops (D, anti-codon, and T loops). RNAcentral also lists the same sequence under 3 other names. The record is from RNAcentral. Lineage: Eukaryota; Metazoa; Chordata; Chondrichthyes; Carcharhiniformes; Carcharhinidae.